UUCUCAACCUUCUACUUCAAUUGCCUCACACAAUGCAAUCUCUGUGUCUUCAACCCAAUUCUCCAACAAGAUCACAGUAAAAACUCGCUUUGCCUAAACUCUCGAUGCCUGCGAUCCAAGCUGAACUCUCUUCUAGGGAGAUCAUGUCAGCUGGUUGCAGAAGCUGACCCUCAUCCAACCUAUUACACUCCACAUCCAUUUCUAAAUACAUUUACACUCUUUGCAAAUGACACUUUUCCACUCACAUAGCCCACACCCUCGAUGCCAUAUUCACACUAGCCUUUUUAAUUUAAGUCUUCUGAACUAAGUAUGACAUUUCAAUCCAACGAUACACCUAACCAUAUCUGAUCUAUCUUCGCAGGAUGAAGGGAUGCAGGAUGAUAUCCGUUCCCCCACACACCUGUUCUAAACAGGCCCGGAUUGACUAAUCGGGAGGACCGGGAGAAUUCCCGGUGGGCCGGUCCGUUUUUUUUGGCCGCGAGGGCCGGUGUCCCUAGCUCCAGAAUCUGUUGCUCUCAGCAGUGACACUUUUUUAAUUCAUUUACUUGACCACAGCCUUUUUAUUCAU
RNAcentral lists this long non-coding RNA (568 nucleotides) under Danio rerio (zebrafish). RNAcentral's name for it is "lncRNA si:dkey-150l7.10 (ENSDARG00000105608.2)". Lineage: Eukaryota; Metazoa; Chordata; Actinopteri; Cypriniformes; Danionidae. The record is from RNAcentral.